GAUGAACGCUGGCGGCGUGCCUAAUACAUGCAAGUCGAGCGAACAGACGAGGAGCUUGCUCCUCUGACGUUAGCGGCGGACGGGUGAGUAACACGUGGAUAACCUACCUAUAAGACUGGGAUAACCUCGGGAAACCGGAGCUAAUACCGGAUAAUAUAUUGCACCGCAUGGUGCAAUAGUGAAAGACGGUUUUGCUGUCACUUAUAGAUGGAUCCGCGCCGCUUUAGCUAGUUGGUAAGGUAACGGCUUACCAAGGCGACGAUGCGUAGCCGACCUGAGAGGGUGAUCGGCCACACUGGAACUGAGACACGGUCCAGACUCCUACGGGAGGCAGCAGUAGGGAAUCUUCCGCAAUGGGCGAAAGCCUGACGGAGCAACGCCGCGUGAGUGAUGAAGGUCUUCGGAUCGUAAAACUCUGUUAUUAGGGAAGAACAAAUGUGUAAGUAACUAUGCACGUCUUGACGGUACCUAAUCAGAAAGCCACGGCUAACUACGUG
Molecule: ribosomal RNA, 497 nt
Filed under: uncultured bacterium
Lineage: Bacteria
Description: partial 16S ribosomal RNA
Rfam family: Bacterial small subunit ribosomal RNA
Source: RNAcentral